CCUACGGGUGGCUGCAGUGAGGAAUAUUGGUCAAUGGACGAGAGUCUGAACCAGCCAAGUAGCGUGAAGGAUGACUGCCCUAUGGUUUGUAAACUUCUUUUAUAUGGGAAUAACAUGUUCCACGUGUGGGAUUUUGUAUGUACCAUAUGAAUAAGGCUCGGCUAACUCCGUGCCAGCAGCCGCGGUAAUACGGAGGAUCCGAGCGUUAUCCGGAUUUAUUGGGUUUAAAGGGAGCGUAGGUGGAUUUUUAAGUCAGUUGUGAAAGUUUGCGGCUCAACCGUAAAAUUGCAGUUGAAACUGGCAGUCGGUAGUACAGUAGAGGUGGGCGGAAUUCGUGGUGUAGCGGUGAAAUGCUUAGAUAUCACGAAGAACUCCGAUUGCGAAGGCAGUUCACUGGACUGCAACUGACACUGAGGCUCGAAAGUGUGGGUAUCAAACAGGAUUAGAUACCCCAGUAGUC
This 460-nucleotide ribosomal RNA is filed under the name uncultured bacterium. Its description in RNAcentral is "partial 16S ribosomal RNA". It matches the Rfam family "Bacterial small subunit ribosomal RNA", at positions 338 to 795 of the family's 1533-position model. The record is from RNAcentral.